Molecule: unclassified non-coding RNA, 447 nt
Filed under: soil metagenome
Description: partial contains 5.8S ribosomal RNA, internal transcribed spacer 2, and large subunit ribosomal RNA
Rfam family: 5.8S ribosomal RNA (bases 1-120)
Source: RNAcentral
GAUGAAGAACGUAGCGAAAUGCGAUAAGUAAUGUGAAUUGCAGAAUUCAGUGAAUCAUCGAAUCUUUGAACGCACCUUGCGCUCCUUGGUAUUCCUUGGAGCAUGCCUGUUUGAGUAUCAUGAAAUUCUCAAAGUAAAUCUUUUUGUUAAUUCAAUUAGGUUCACUUUGGAUUUGGAGGUUUUUUGCAGCUUCACACCUGCUCCUCUUUGUGCAUUAGCUGGAUCUCAGUGUUAUGCUUUGUUCCACUCGGCGUGAUAAGUUAUCUAUCGCUGAGGACACUUUUUUUUUGUUUUUUUUCUAAAAAUAAAUAAAUAACUAAGUGGCCAAGGGAAAUGCAGAUGAACCGCUUCCAAUAGUCCAUUAGCUUGGACAAAUAUAUUUUUAUGAUCUGAUCUCAAAUCAGGUAGGACUACCCGCUGAACUUAAGCAUAUCAAUAAGCGGAGGA